GAUGAACGCUGGCGGCGUGCCUAAUACAUGCAAGUCGAGCGAACAGACGAGGAGCUUGCUCCUCUGACGUUAGCGGCGGACGGGUGAGUAACACGUGGAUAACCUACCUAUAAGACUGGGAUAACUUCGGGAAACCGGAGCUAAUACCGGAUAAUAUAUUGAACCGCAUGGUUCAAUAGUGAAAGACGGUUUUGCUGUCACUUAUAGAUGGAUCCGCGCCGCAUUAGCUAGUUGGUAAGGUAACGGCUUACCAAGGCGACGAUGCGUAGCCGACCUGAGAGGGUGAUCGGCCACACUGGAACUGAGACACGGUCCAGACCCCGACGGGAGGCAGCAGUAGGGAAUCUUCCGCAAUGGGCGAAAGCCUGACGGAGCAACGCCGCGGGAGUGAUGAAGGUCUGCGGAUCGUAAAACUCUGUUAUUAGGGAGAACAAAUGUGUAAGUAACUAUGCACGUCUUGACGGUACCUAAUCAGAAAGCCACGGCUAACUACGUG
This 496-nucleotide ribosomal RNA is filed under the name uncultured bacterium. RNAcentral describes it as "partial 16S ribosomal RNA". It matches the Rfam family "Bacterial small subunit ribosomal RNA", at positions 28 to 507 of the family's 1533-position model. The record is from RNAcentral.